RNAcentral lists this non-coding RNA (24 nucleotides) under Drosophila melanogaster (fruit fly). RNAcentral also lists the same sequence under 4 other names. The record is from RNAcentral. Lineage: Eukaryota; Metazoa; Arthropoda; Insecta; Diptera; Drosophilidae.
UAGAUAACCUCGGGCCGAUCGCAC